AAGUCUUUGCAGUGAUAGUAAAGCUAUAGAAAAGCAUAGAAGGGAAGUGAUACACAGUGGAACUUAGAAAGAAUUUCCGCUGUUUCGUUCGUGUACGGAUCUCUAAGAGGAGUGGGAGUUGUUGAACUGAAUUGGAAUACAUUACUAUCAAGAAAUGUCUGCUACUUCUAUGGAAAGUUUUGCAAUUUAUGGGCCUACUCAGAGAGGGAACAACUUAAAUGCAAAUAUUUCAAAGAACACAGAGGCAAAAAGAAACAACAAAUUAUUUUUAUACUGGUUGGACACGACAUUGCUUUAUGGUAUCCCACGUAUGGAAAGUAUGUAAGAAGUUCAAUCGUCUAAAGAGAUACCAAAAAACAACCAAUGUAUUUCUACUUAAUAACUACAAAGGGUACAACAAAAAAAAAAGAAAAUCACGACGGCGACGUCAUUGUGGAGGCCGACGGGUGGUGGCUUGCGGCAACCCGUCUUCUUGUAGAGCUGCUCGGCGCAAUCGUCGGAUAAUCAGGUCGAAUCUUCUAUGUCGCCAAUGCAGGAACUCCCGAGAAUCGGUGCUGGGCGCUGGUGAAUCCCGGUCGAUGUCUGGUUGGUGUUGAAGUUCGUACGGUGAUACGGCAGGUGUUGAUGCUGGCAUCCCAGCUCUUGCCCCGGGGAUGGUGAUUACGAGGAUGUCUCGUCCGCUUCCGUCCAAUAAAGUCAUUCGACCAUUCCAUCAGUAAACCGAAUUGGUUUUCUUCGAUUUCUUUGCGGGCGUCGUCCGGUAGCAUUUUGGUGUUCCGUCUUUUCUACUGACAAAUCGUCCUUGGACUCUGUUGGUGGAUUUUCGGACUCGUUAGUGUCGCGUGUGGAGUUGUCAUCGGAAAUUGGAGUGGAAUGACGCUGACUUGUAGCAUCGGCGCAUAUUUCAGCGGAUGGCAACUGAUUUUCUGUAUUUUGAUGAGAUGAAACGGCGACGUCCUCUUGGCUUAACUUUCGUUGACCCAUUUCUUGAGUCGGAAAAUUAGUGUCAAAUGGAAGGGCGUCACUGUCGAAGGUAUCGUCUGAAUUGUCACUGUCGGGUCCGAUUUCAUUUUCGAAGAUAUCGGUAGUCUGAGUCGCAAUCGAUUUGCGGAAUCGAUUUUCAAAAUCUAACGAGUUUUCAAUGGAUGGACAAUCUUCAGUCUUCCAAAGCGUAGUUUCGUACAAAGGUUUCAAACGAUUGACGUGGGUACGCUGGCAUACAUAGGAAUUAUCGGCUAUAUCUACUGUAUUAUUGGUAUGUACUUUUACAACUCUAUAAGGACCUUUAUAUUUCGAAGUGAAUUUCCUACUGUCACCUUCUUUAACUACACGAAUAUCUAAUAAAACUCUAUCUCCUACGA
Daphnia magna is the source of this 1361-nucleotide long non-coding RNA. RefSeq lists it as uncharacterized. The record is from RefSeq and is a predicted model, not a curated record. The transcript has 3 exons. Lineage: Eukaryota; Metazoa; Arthropoda; Branchiopoda; Diplostraca; Daphniidae.